CACACACACAUAGCCAGAUAAACACACACAUAUAGCCAGACAAACACACACAUAUAGCCAGACAAACACACACACAUAUAGCCAGAUAAACACACACACAUAGCCAGAUAAACACACACAUAUAGCCAGAUAAACACACACACACAUAGCCAGAUAAACACACAUAGCCAGAUAAACACACACACACAUAGCCAGAUAAACACACACACAUAUAGCCAGAUAAACACGCACACAUAGCCAGAUAAACACCACACACAUAGCCAGAUAAACACACACACACA
Pelobates cultripes (western spadefoot toad) is the source of this 281-nucleotide non-coding RNA. The record is from the annotation of a GenBank genome assembly. Lineage: Eukaryota; Metazoa; Chordata; Amphibia; Anura; Pelobatidae.